CCUAAUAUAUCAAACUAAAAUGGAAGCUUGAUUAGCUUCUGAUCCUGAAACAAACAAAAUGAGCUAAUUAUGUUACAAAUAUAAAACAAGAUGUUCUAAUUUAAAGCCCUAAUAUAUCAAACUAAAAUGGAAGCUUGAAUAGCUUCUGAUUUCUUUGAUUUUGUGUUCCAAACCUUCGAUUUGCUCUUCAACGAAGCUCGAUUUCUUAUAUCAAGUAUGUUUUUUAACUUCGCGUUUCGAAUCUGUGAAUCUCUACAGUGGGUACCGGAAUCUCGGUUGUGUGUAUAGCGUG
RNAcentral lists this long non-coding RNA (292 nucleotides) under Daucus carota (carrot). RNAcentral's name for it is "long non-coding RNA (DCAR_LNC005648)". Lineage: Eukaryota; Viridiplantae; Streptophyta; Magnoliopsida; Apiales; Apiaceae. The record is from RNAcentral.